Long non-coding RNA from Gasterosteus aculeatus aculeatus (three-spined stickleback), 3114 nucleotides. Lineage: Eukaryota; Metazoa; Chordata; Actinopteri; Perciformes; Gasterosteidae. The record is from Ensembl.
UCUUCAUUCAGACCUUCAAACCAGUCAAUUCCACCAGCAACAACCUCCUUACCCCCCUACUUGAUCACAGCACCAUAGGAUUGAACAGUCAGAUUGUCACGAAAGCGUAGAAGGCAGGACUCAAACGCAGUCCUGGAGUUCAAGGAAACAAAAAGACUUCAAUAGUCAAAAUCCCCAAAAUCAAAAGGCCAAGGGGGCAAAACGCAGACGAGGACCAGGAACUCACAGGGUAGAACAUGCGACAAUGACGCAACAAGAGACACACAUGGCUUAAUAUAUACUGGGAAGGUGCAGGUGAUUGGACACAGGUGGAAACAAUCAGACAAUCACAGGGGAUGACAGGACAAGGCAGGAAGUGAAGUUACCCAGGGAGACAAGAAGCAGAAAACUACAAAAUAAGAAAGGAAACAAACACAAACCGUGACACAGAAGAUAAUAUGUUCAACAUGACAACAUGGACAACCAGCCACUCUCAACACACACACACACUCAUUAGUGCGAUGUACCUCCUACCAUUUCUAUUUGUCAGUGGGGCAGCUGGGGUGUUUCGUGACCUGGCCUGCAGACACAGGCAGGGACUGUCAGUGUGGAUUACAGUCUAAUGUUGAUCCCCCCCUAACUCCCAUUUAUCACCUCCUCUAGUACCCCAGAGAUACCCCUCCCUACUUUCUAAGAGACCACAGCAUAUUCUGUUUGAUGUAUCGUUCAACAGGUUUAAUCAUGUUUUUAUGUACGCACAUGAUAUCACUUUCAUUUCUGACUUGUCUUUAGGGCUUGUUAUUUUGAGUUUGGAUACAUAUUAUAAAGAGAAAAAAAUAUGUAUAUCACAAAAGAGGAUAAUAUGUGUUCCAUCAUGAAUAGAAAAAGAAUCUGUACGUUGGGAACCAAAAGGGUUUUUUCAUUUCUUCUCUUUUAGGGAUUAGGAUUAGGGAUUUUAUUUUAACUAGAGCAGCGUUCCCCAACCUUUUUUGCCUCACAGACCGGUUUCAUGUUAGUCACAGUCUUGAAGGUGCAACAGAUAAACCAGAUGGAACAACCGUCCGACGGGGGGGGGACUGGUACCAUGGGAUAACAGUUAGCUCUUCCUAUUUCGUUUUAUCUGCACUUUGAAGUGAAAGCUAGAUAUCAACAUUCCAGAUAGAUAACAACAUAAAAACUGCCGCUUUGCCAUGCAGUCUACACUUGUAGACGUAGGGAUCAUUAGUUCAGUGCCAAUUUUAUGUCAUUUACAUUUUAAUAUUUCUUUCUAAAAUGACAGUCAGACGGGGGGAACAUUUUUAAAGGGAAUGCUCAACACUGUGAAUUGACAUUUGAUCACACAUAUUAUGGUUUAAUGUAAAAAAGGAUAUGUAAAGAAAAUACAAACUUCACUAGUUAAUUGAGAAUUUAAAAGAUUUAGUGGAUGACAGAAAAUACUUUACAGCAACAGCUUGAAUUACUAUCACCACGUCAUGGUGCAUCUGAAUGCACCAUGCCACACAGGGAUGUACAGUAGACAGUGCAGGUGGAUAGCAAGGCCGCAGAUAAAAUCUGCACUCUUUCUUGCAGUCUCUAAAUCUUUUCGGCCAAGACACCGUAUUUAUUUUCUGUCAGAGACAUGUUAGUUGAUCACGUAGAGGAAAGGCCGGAUAUGGCCACAUCGGCUUUUGGGAAGUAGUUCUGCUGUUUUUCCACCAUCUAUGUCUAUGGUAGCUGCAGCCUACCAGUAAGCAAAGUAAUAUUUUGAGUGUUUUUCUUUCCUAUGGGGCGCAGGCGUGUUAAACUUAUUUUAGGUAGGGGGCCACUUACUGUCCACUUUGAAGUCAUGCAGGGGUUGGGGGGUUCACGGGCGCGGAACCUACCUAAAAAUGAGUUUAACACCCCUGCUCUAUAACAAGAGCUAAUUCAUCCAGACUUCCCACCUUGUCUUGCCUCGCCGUGAAUUACCGUCAUUACUGCCAAACAUUAUCCUUGGAAAAGUUAUUGCAUGAAUAUACAUGAAUUUGAAAGGAGGGUGCCCUUGCCGGCGAACUCGGUCACCUGUGCGCCUGUGUUUUUUAGCAUUCGUUUUUAGUUUUCGUGUUUCUAUUUUUUAUUCAUGAUCAUCAACGUGAUGACUGCACUUUGUUUUAUACUUUUCAUGAAAGCCGUCCAAACAUUGUAAGUUGGGAGCAAAACAGGCCCACUUUUCAUCCACUAUAGUCAGCAGGAGCUUCUUCAAGUGGACAGAACCCUGACUGGGAUUUUUUGGAUACAGAGGCGGGAUCCGAGUCGGGAACAGUCGGGGGGGUACAACCUGUGUUACCCUACUCUAAUAAGAGGGAUGAGCCAGUUCCGACAGAGCAGCCUGCUGUGUUUGACUGAGACCUGACUGUCUGACGGAAUAACGGAGUCCCAUUUGAAGAUAGCAGGAUUGUCACUUCACAGGAUGGACAGAGACCCAGCAAGUACUGGGAAAAAACAAGGUGGAGGCGUUUGCCUUUACGUGAAUGCCCGGUGUUAUCCUGGUCAUGUCACGGGAAGAAACCUUGGGAGAACGUCAGAGGAGGGAUCCCUCUCCCGGAAUGGACAGCCUACAAUGGAUGUCAUUAUAUUGGGAUGUUUUCAUCACAUGUUAAAUUAUUCUCAAACUGUCAUUGAAGCUAAUGUAAAUUGAAGGACAUAACUACAACGCUCUAAAUAAUUGAAGUGCCAUUAGCCUUUAAAUGUAAGUAUUAGUCACUGCUGGCUGCGAAAUGUAACCACACCUACCUCCUGGCAACGGCUGAAUAUACAGUGCUUUGUCACAGCUGCUAACUGAUGGUAUGUCUCCAGAGCUUGACCUCUCUAUACGAAAUGUGCACUGACCAUUUAAAUCCUGACCGUAAUAUGGUAAUGUCUUUGAAUGUUAGUGUAAAAUUGAUGUAAAGUAAGUUGUUAAAAACAACGCUUUUGUUGUGGUUUAAUUAAUUUUUCAAUUAUUCUCUAACUCACUGACUAUCUCUCUGACUCAAUGAGGACCCACACAUCCUCACAGACCAUGGACUUUCAGUAACACACUGAAUAUCUGGAUUCUUUGAUUCACAGAAUUAUUAGAGCACCAACACUCGAAUAAACCCAGCUCUUUCCGGAAAGACACCAACGACGUGAUGAUAC